CGGGGGGAGCAAGCGUUGUUCGGAUUUACUGGGCGUAAAGGGCGCGUAGGCGGCCUCUGCAAGUCGACUGUGAAAUCUCCGGGCUUAACCCGGAACGGUCAGCCGAUACUGCAGGGCUAGAGUGCAGAAGGGGCAACUGGAAUUCUCGGUGUAGCGGUGAAAUGCGUAGAUAUCGAGAGGAACACCUGCGGCGAAGGCGGGUUGCUGGGCUGACACUGACGCUGAGGCGCGAAAGCUAGGGGAGCGGACGGGAUUAGAUACCCCGGUAGUCCUAGCCUUAAACGAUGAAUGCUUGGUGUCUGGGGUUUUAUAGUCCCCGGGUGCCGUCGCUAACGCUUUAAGCAUUCCGCCUGGGGAGUACGGUCGCAAGACUG
RNAcentral lists this ribosomal RNA (374 nucleotides) under uncultured organism. Its description in RNAcentral is "bacterial SSU rRNA". It matches the Rfam family "Bacterial small subunit ribosomal RNA", at positions 526 to 896 of the family's 1533-position model. The record is from RNAcentral.